RNAcentral lists this long non-coding RNA (602 nucleotides) under Vigna radiata. RNAcentral's name for it is "long non-coding RNA (VRAD_LNC010184)". Lineage: Eukaryota; Viridiplantae; Streptophyta; Magnoliopsida; Fabales; Fabaceae. The record is from RNAcentral.
ACUAUACUAAAAUCUUUGUACAGAUUUUGAGAAUCAGUGCUGUGUGAUAUUUUGAGAAGGAAAGAAUUUUAAAAUGUUCUUACAUGUCGAAGUCGACUAUGUGCACCACAUAUUCGACUGUAUUAGUUGUUUGAUUUGAAAUUUUGUUAUGCUCAUGAAUAGUAACGACUAUAUUUUCAAAAGAUAGUUGAGCAUUGAAUAGUAGGUCAACUGUAUUAAAUGAGUUUUUAAUUUGUUGGACUGAAAGAAAAAAAAUAGAAAACGAAAAAAAAAGGAAAAAGAAAAGAAAGAAUAAAAAAGAAAAAAGGAAAAAAAAGUAAACCGAAAAAGGAAGAUAAUAAAAGGAAAAAAACGUAAAUAGAAAAAAGAGAGAAAAAAGGAAUAAUGAUGAUUGAUUUUAGAUGCGGGAGUUACAUCCUUUCCAUCAUCAUCACCAAUCCACACCUUUUCUCACCACUCCAACCCUCUCUCCUCUUACUGUAACUUCCCCAAAUUCUUUUCCUUUCUCAAUGGGAAUUUUGGAAUGCGGGUGAGAGACACACAAUCCUUUCCUUUCCAUGACUCCCGUCCAAACCUGCAUACCAAUGAUACCUCGCAACACC